UUCACCUGGUCUGGAGAAAGGCCUGUGCUCUCGUUCACGCUGAAGUAGGCCAGGCAGUCUUCCGUAUCCUUAGUGUGUGCGUUCUCCAUUCUGUCUUCUCAAAGGGGAGGCUUCACAAAAAGACAACACAAGAGAUGUAGGGCUGACAGAAAGUGCAAACUUUCACCCAUCACCGUAGAGUUUAUAAAGACAGCGGAGAGACCAUCACCCAGGUCACACCCAUAGGAGGCCCCCUAUUGGCUAAGAAGAGACGAAUAUAGUAUGGAAGAGGCGUGGCCUCGAGAAGAACUAUGAAGGGGUAUGAUUGGAGCAAUUGGACAACAACUGCAGUGGGGGUGUGCGCCUGACCCGGCCCGCGUACAGAGACACUGGUGCUGACAGCAAGACAGAUCAAGGGUAAGAGAAGAAGAAGAGAGGGAGUGUGAAAAGUCAAGAUGCAGAGAUGAAUCUGUAAGUUAAAUAUAAACGCUGAAGAGACAGAGAGAGAGAAAAGAAUAGAAGUAGUAAAAGACUUGAAGAGACAGACCAGGAGAGAAAUGUAAGGUGUAUAUAAGGAGAAAAGUGGCACUGUAACUAACAAAUACAAACCAUUUCUUAAACUAUUUUCUCUUCCUUACUUAUUUAUUAUGUACACAAUUCAAUUUGAAUGAUCAUUUCAUAAACACCUCUCAUAUGCAUAAUCACACACAGAAACAGAUGUGAUCUUAUGCUUCAUACACACAUUUACAGUAUGCUGCGUUCGUGUGUGUGCUAAACAAGUGUGUGACAGGUGUUAAACAGGAAUGGUGUUAAACUUUCAACACUGUCCCUAUUCUUAGGUAUUUGAAUCUGUGGCACCAAAGUAACGUCCUGUAAUGCAGUCUUUAAUGACUAUCAUCUUUUCAUAUGCACACACACGUGUAUUGUUUUAAAUUAUUAUGACAGUAGUUUAAGCAUAAACACCAUGUAUUUGUUUAAUUUGUAUUAAUUGUAGGCUAAGUAAAAUCCAGAGAUUGAAUAUUCCCCACAUCCAUAGCUUACCUUCAUUAUAGACGAAGAAGUUUAAAAUUACUACAAUACUAACUUGUAAAUCUGCUUUAUU
Misgurnus anguillicaudatus (oriental weatherfish) is the source of this 1081-nucleotide long non-coding RNA. RefSeq lists it as uncharacterized. NCBI's taxonomy places the organism in Eukaryota, Metazoa, Chordata, Actinopteri, Cypriniformes, Cobitidae. The record is from RefSeq and is a predicted model, not a curated record.